AUCGCACUAUAAGCCACUGAUGUGGGUGCACUUACUUCCCUGGAGCGGGGCAGACCUGCCCUUCCAGCCUCCUAACUUCAUUUCAGUGACUUCCUGCCUCGCAGCUAACCUCAUCCCGACAGGAAAACUGGAAGGAAGAAUUUCACAAACUCCUCCAAACAAGUUACUUGAAGUGACACCCCCACCCCCUUCUCAACUUUGCUGUCAGCUCCAAGUCCCGCGGGUUACGCCGCUGUGUUGUUUGGUAAAAACCGAAAGUGCAGAAAAGCCUAUUCUUUAUCUUCGAACCGAAAAAAAGAUCAGUGUGCCCAUUUGGGUGAGCGUCACGUUCCCGUGGAUCCAGAUUUAGGAGUACUAGCAUCUUCCAGCUUUAAUAUUUUUCGUGAUUUAAAACAGUCACACGACCGGGAUUUAUGCAUUGCUUUUGGAUACAUUUUGGAAUAAAUCUGUGGACCGACUCCGAACUCGUGAUUUUAAGGAUUACUUUUUCAUGUAUUGGAAAAAUGAAAAUCUGUCCCCUCUACCUGAGGGAAGUAAGCUUUUGUCAGACGGGAUUCCAGCGAAACAGGUGAUUUCUCAAGAGACUCAGAACAGGACAGGAGCAUCCCGCUGCUUCGAAAGCAAGCGUUCACAUAUAAUGUCUCAUUCUGACAGUGAAUCUCAUAGGUCCAACAUGGAUAAAGACGAUACUCGGUCUUCCCCAAGUCCUCCUUCCACUCCUUCUAUCUGUUCUCCGCCUUCUGCUUCCUCAUCCAUCCCGUCAGCCGGGAAGAACCUGUGCGCCAGUUGUGGACUGGAGAUCCUUGAUCGUUACCUGCUAAAGGUGAAUAAUUUAAUCUGGCACGUCAGAUGUUUGGAGUGCUCAGUGUGUAGGACUUCACUACGUCAGCACAGCAGCUGUUACAUCAAAAACAAAGAAAUCUUCUGUAAAAUGGAUUAUUUCAGUCGAUUUGGUACCAAGUGUGCCCGAUGUGGCAGACAGAUUUACGCCAGCGACUGGGUGAGAAGAGCCAGGGGAAAUGCCUAUCACUUAGCCUGCUUUGCCUGUUUUUCCUGCAAAAGACAGCUGUCCACAGGAGAGGAGUUUGGUCUGGUGGAGGAAAAGGUGCUUUGCCGAAUUCACUAUGACACUAUGGUGGAAAACCUAAAGCGUGCAGCAGAAAGUGGAAGUGGGAUAACUUUAGAAGGAGCCCUUCCCUCGGAGCAAGACAGCCAACCAAAGCCAGCCAAGAGAGCACGCACUUCCUUUACGGCAGAGCAGCUUCAGGUGAUGCAGGCACAGUUUGCACAAGACAAUAAUCCUGAUGCACAAACGCUGCAGAAACUAGCAGAUAUGACAGGUCUCAGCAGAAGGGUGAUACAGGUGUGGUUUCAAAACUGCAGAGCAAGACACAAAAAGCACACUCCCCAACACAGUGGACCUUCACAAGGCCCUCCACAGUCUAGAAUGCCUCCUUCACUCCCAGAGGACAUUCAUUACUCGCCAUUCAGCAGUCCAGAGAGAGCCCGCAUGGUUGCUCUGCACGGAUAUAUUGAAAGCCAUCCUUUCUCAGUUCUCACCGCGCAGAGUCUGCCCCACCAAGCCAUGGCUCUGCCUCAGCUCCCCUUGAGCCGCUAGCCGAGCGGCGGCGCUGGCCGGGUUCAACCUUACCACUUGGACGAGGAGGCUCCUCUUUCAAAACGGCGACGCGCCUGUUUUAACGCCGGUCGCAAGGUUUUUUGGCGACACCGACAGGAGCUUUAACACAACCGCUAUCCUCCCAUCAUAAGACACCAAAACUGGAUUUACCUGCCUGAAUAUGCAAAGUGUGAAUCUCCUCGAAAACAGAGAAGAGCUCCGUGUCAAAGCGAAAACAAACAAACAAAAAAGCCGCCAAACGGAUGGACCGGCCGCCGACGGCAAUGACGUCAAAGAUACGAGGUGACUACCGCCCUCCCCAGAGAGCCGACCUUCAAACGUAACAACGGGCCGCGAAUGAACUGUGGAAUAUUGUUUUUUUUUCUUGACUCCUUUAAAGAACCAGAGCAUGUACCAAAGCCACUGUGCUUUGCCUUUUUUCCAGCAGAGUACUUAUUUCUGUACUUACACAUUUUACUGCCGUCUGACUAACAGUUCCAGUGGUCCUCCCGAGAGUAGCAGCGGGACGCCUACGUUUUAUAGUCUAAGAUAGCAGCAGCAGUCUUUGACUAGAACUUAACAUUACAGAGAUAUCAAUAAGAGAAGGAACCCUUUUGAAACAUCACAAUUGUUACCUCGUUGAGCUUUCUCAAAACAAACAAACUUUACAUUGUUUCCCUCUGGAAAAACUGAUCAAUAAGAAGAGAACCAGUUAGAUGUGAAGAUUAUUACAGUUAUAUGUACAGAGAUGGUAAAGCAUCAUGAUUGCAGUUGUUAGCAAUGUUGCCUUACUGCUGCAAACAACCAAAGACAAAUUCUGACAGUCUCAGUGACAUUUGCAGUUCUACCAGGGUGUGUGAAUGAAAUCAUUCUAGUUUAGUCAUACAUCCUAAAGACAUGUAUGUUAGGUCAAUUAUUGUCUGCAAACUGUCCUAGUUCAGGUGACUAUGGUUAUAUGCGUUAGUUUGCCCUGUGAUUGAACAGUGACUAAUAAUGCUAAAAUAAGCUCAAUUUCCUGUGACAUUGUGCUGGAAUAUUUACAAAUUAAUGAAUAAACCUUCUUCUGGUAAUUAAUUAGUUCAGUUUUAUUAUAUAUGUUUCAUAUUCCAAGUGAACAUGCUUUCACCUGCAAAUAAUAUAAACAAGUAGUAAACUGGAAAAUGCUUCCAUAUGUAACUUAUAAAAUCAAAUAGACUGAACUACAGUUAAUGAUAUAAAUCUGAGUAUCUGCAAAUGAAAAUUGGAUUUAACCUCAUCAGAAAAGGUGUUUACACAGUGUGUAUCCUUAUACACACAUGACGACACAUAUUUUAGCUUUCUUUUUAAUAGAUCAGAAUUAUCCAUCAUUUCUGAGAGCUAUAAUUUACCACGGAUAUUCAAAAUGCUUUAGUCAUAGAAAUUCUUAAUACUCUUUGAGCUAAUUUAGUCAGUUGUAGCAAUAAUCUCUGGGAUCUAUAAUCUGUCUCUUGAAAUCUAUGAUCAAAGUCAGCUAUGAUCUUGAUAAAAGAUGUCUAUAACCCUCUGAGCUAUAAUAUAUUCAGAGAUGUCCGUAAUCCCCCUGAACUAUAUUGAAUCAAAGAAGCCCUUAAACAGAUUAAAUAUAAUUUAGUCAAUUACAAUCCUGUUUAUCAUUUAUCUAGGCAGUGACGUUGUAAUCAUUUUAUUUAGUCAGUUAUGUCCUGAAUCCUGGUAAAAUAAAAUCCAUCAAUGAUAUUCAUAAUCCCAAUGAUCUUUAAUAUGGUCAGAGAUGGUCAUAACCUACUCAGAGACAUUUUAUU
This is an RNA transcript of Erpetoichthys calabaricus (reedfish), 3396 nucleotides long. It is a transcript of the gene named LIM homeobox 6a, with no coding region annotated. The transcript has 10 exons. NCBI's taxonomy places the organism in Eukaryota, Metazoa, Chordata, Cladistia, Polypteriformes, Polypteridae. The record is from RefSeq and is a predicted model, not a curated record.